GCGUCGCCGCCCUUGACUCGGCGAGAAGUCCAUUGAACCUUAUCAUUUAGAGGAAGGAGAAGUCGUAACAAGGUUUCCGUAGGUGAACCUGCGGAAGGAUCAUUG
RNAcentral lists this ribosomal RNA (105 nucleotides) under Zygopetalinae sp. 2 SRR-2011. Its description in RNAcentral is "partial 18S ribosomal RNA". It matches the Rfam family "Eukaryotic small subunit ribosomal RNA", at positions 1728 to 1831 of the family's 1831-position model. Lineage: Eukaryota; Viridiplantae; Streptophyta; Magnoliopsida; Asparagales; Orchidaceae. The record is from RNAcentral.